UUGCGUACAAGUAGCACCGAUGAAGAGUAGAGGUUGAAACUUGGCCGAAUAACUCCUGUUUUGAGCAUCUCUUUUACAAUCCUUUCUAUUUCAUCCUUCUGGAGAUGUAGAUAUUGAUAUGGCCGAGUAUUUGCUGGAGGUUUGCCUGAAAGAAUCGUUAUAUAAUGAUCAUGCCGACGGGUAAGAGGUAGGUUGUACGGUUCGUCAAAUAUAUCUAAAAAUUCAGCAAGCAAAGGAAGUAGGUUUGGAUCUUCAAAUUCUAUUGGCUCUCCCUUAGUUUGCUGCUCAAGUUGUACCAAAAAGCCGCUGCAUGCUUUAUGCAAAACCUUCUCCAUUUGUUGUGUGCAAAUCGUUAUUAUGUCGCCCCCAUGUUUCCCAUGCAAUGUCACCUGUUUCUCCUUACUGUAAAAUUUCA
RNAcentral lists this long non-coding RNA (415 nucleotides) under Musa acuminata (dwarf banana). Its description in RNAcentral is "long non-coding RNA (MACU_LNC007688)". The record is from RNAcentral. Lineage: Eukaryota; Viridiplantae; Streptophyta; Magnoliopsida; Zingiberales; Musaceae.